AUACGGAGGGUGCAAGCGUUAAUCGGAAUUACUGGGCGUAAAGCGCACGCAGGCGGUCAAUUAAGUCAGAUGUGAAAGCCCCGAGCUUAACUUGGGAAUUGCAUCUGAAACUGGGUGGCUAGAGUCUUGUAGAGGGGGGUAGAAUUCCACGUGUAGCGGGGAAAUGCGUAGAGAUGUGGAGGAAUACCGGUGGCGAAGGCGGCCCCCUGGACAAAGACUGACGCUCAGGUGCGAAAGCGUGGGGAGCAAACAGGAUUAGAUACCCUGGUAGUCCACGCUGUAAACGAUGUCGAUUUAGAGGUUGUGGUCUUGAACUGUGGCUUCUGGAGCUAACGCGUUAAAUCGACCGCCUGGGGAGUACGGCCGCAAGGUUAAAACUCAAAUGAAUUGGCGGGG
Molecule: ribosomal RNA, 396 nt
Filed under: uncultured bacterium
Lineage: Bacteria
Description: partial 16S ribosomal RNA
Rfam family: Bacterial small subunit ribosomal RNA
Source: RNAcentral